GAGCCGGUCCACGCUGACCCCAGGGAGAGCGGCGCCAGGCCGGAGUCUCCUUCUUCGGGGAGCCAGGUACCGGGAGUCAUCCCUCGGCCAUGGAUGGAACAUCCCCCCACCCCACCGGGGGGCAGUACUCAGGCUGGAGAGGGGGAGAGAGGGAAGCAUCCCCCUCUGUCCGGGAGGGCGGCGAGGGACGUGUUAGUUCUGUUUCUGAAAGAUGAUGCAGGAUGCCAGAGCCGAACGCAGAUCGCCGCGGUGAUUCGUUCACUCCAUACAAUCAUAGAAUGGUUUGAGUUGGAAGGCACCUUAAAGAUCAUCCAGUUCCAACUCCCUUGCCAUGGGCAGGGAACCUUCCACUGGACCAGGUUGCUCAGUGCCCCAUCCCAGAUAUAUUCACUGCUCAGGUGAAGUGAGAAGAGCGUUAUCUCACGCACUUGCUUAUCUCCUGUCUGUACUAGGAAGACUUUUAAGGAUAGCGGCAUUUCAAAAAGAUAAGUCAGAAAGAAAAUGUAAAAAGAAUGGAAACUCUACAAGAGUCACAGCAACAAAGAGGAAUGUUCAGUUUGUGUCCUCUGAGGAUACUCCUAUGGAAGAACGUGAAAAUGUACUUCAAGAACGACAGAAAAAAAUGGGACAGAAAAUGAAAGAGAAUAAGUGAUCCUUGUGGCUAAAUCUCCUUCGGAAAGAAGAGUGUCGUGCUUCCUGAACAUUCAGAUCUAAGAGAGGAGAGUGAAAUGCCGGAUUGCCAAAGUGAUGGAAGUUCUGAAAACAGAGGUUCAAAUGACAGUACUUGAACCCAUCUCAUGGAACAGGAGAAAAGGAAAAACCUCAGGAUAGAUGAGAUGAAAAAGCAUCUUUUCCUUCAACUCUGACUGUGAUACCUUUGGAAGGGAGAACACUUUACGGAAAAGGAUAAUGUCGUAGAUACUCCACUUCACAUGGAUAACUGCAUCAUCUGUUUGGAAAGAGCAUAAGGAAAGAUGACUUAAUAGUCCAGAAAGCAGAAAACCUGCUGGGUAUGUGGGUGUGUGAGUUUCAGAUCCAUGGACUGAAAUACACAAAGCAAGAACGUCAUGGUUGGAUUCUUACUCCCACGUACCUGCCUGAAACUCUUUUAAGGGGAGAUUUCAGGAUAGGACUCUGGAUCCCACUGGAUGAAUAAAAACCACAAAGCAAAUCACAGGGUCCACAGGUUUUCUCGCUUUUCCAAUUCACUACCCCAUCUCACUACAGUGGGAGUGAGAGUUGCUGGCUGGGGUUAAACCAUGACAAUCCUCUUGGUGCCCAACAUGGGGUUUGAAGGUUUUGAGAUUAUCCUAUCUCUGAAGAAUAUCUAGAUCUUCUGGUAUUGUCACAUGCAGACAGUGAGUAAACCAGACUUCUUUGCCUCACUUUACCAAAAGACAUUUUAAUCAAUUUAUGUAUGAACAUACCUUGAGGAUGGCAUGAAAAACAACACAUUACUGGAACGAAAUAAAGACUUAUGAACUGCCUAAAAUAAAUAAUAUAUAGGGUAAAAAAAUAAAGAGAUUUUGACAAAGAGAAGAGGUGGAGGAUGAUCCUGGAAGUCUUUGCACAAAGAGACCCCUCUAUCCAACCUAGCUGGCAAAAAAAAAAGAGAAGCACUUGAGAUAUCCAGUUCAAAGCUAUCUAAUCCACCAUGCUUGAAGUUCCUUUUUCUCUAAAAGCAUUCUAAGAGUGUGGUUUGGUUACCUACAUUCACCAAGCAUGGUAUGAGCAUUGUCCUCUGCAGUGACAACAUUGAGCUGUUUCUGCCUGGUUGCUUUUUGUUUUGUAUAGAGAUACUCUCAAGCAUUCAGGUAUGUAUGUAUAAAUUAUACCUUGCUUACUCCAUCCCAUGCCGUACAGGUGGAACAGGUUUCUCCUCCUGCAGAGCUCCCGUCCAUGUCCUUCUGAAGCCAUUCAGUUAGUUCCUUCAUGCCAAUAGCAUACCUGUUUUCCUUUGGUUCUGCCUUCUCUCCCAGGAUUUCUGCCAGGCCAGCAUGCUCCUCCAAUGGUUUCUCUUCCCUCUGGCAGCUAAGAUGGCAUCCCAGCAGUCUUGCCCUCAAGGAAUGAACUGCCAGAAUGGGCUCUGGCUCCAGCUCAGCAUAUGGAGGCUCAUUUCAACCCUGCCUCCUCAGGCUCAGACCAGUAAGUCCCCGAAUUUCCGUGAAGAAGAACAGCUCCUGUUGGCUUCCAUGUUGUGGCUCUGGCUCUGGCCCAUGACUUCACAGUCCUUCCUCCUAGCCCAGCAUCAGCCAACACUCAGUAUUCUGCCCAUCAGCAGGACUCAGGAGCAUCACCUAUCUGAGAUCACUGCAGACUACUGCACACUUUUUGAGGUUUAGACUUCCCAGAUGCUUUACACAGCAAAGUAAGUAAAGUUUUGAAAACAAAACCAUUUUAUGCUGCCCUUUUGUGCAAUAAAAUAAAAUGUACCUCUCCCUGCUAAGUUAGUGUAUUGGACUGUACUCCCAGGGGCAGAAGAACAGCUACGCAGCAUUUGCACGUUUCAUAAACAAAGAAAAACCAGGCUUUUUUCCCCCACAAUUUAACUUUUGCAAGGAAAAAAAAAUAAAAAGAAAUUCAAAGCUCAAAUUAUAUGCGUUUGAGACAUGGUGUAUGGUAGGAAACUGUAGAACAUUCAUGUUUCAAAUCUUCCUAUUUUAUCUCCCCCUCAAAAAAUAAGGUCUCAUUUUUCAGAAAAAUCCAAACAAGUUUAAAACUUGUACUGGGGAUUUUUGGGACUUUCUCUUCAAAGAACUCUUAAAAGUCUACUGCAGUGGCUUGGGAGUGCAUAUAGUGGGUUUACUUUAAAACUACAAACUCUGGAAGCAUUUGGAUUCUUGUCAGCUCUAUGGUGAUUCUGCAGGAAAACUGGGAGGGCUUCAGCCCUUACUUGACUAUGGAUCAGUGAAUGCUUGAUGACUGAGAUCUUGCUAUAAAAGAUAAUUUUUUUAUAAAAUUUAAUCUUUAAUUAAGAAACUCAUUCAGCAAAAUGUAUGCAAACAGUUCUGAUGUUAAAUCAACAAGUCAUUUUUUAAAAUUGUUAUUGGAUGAAGACGAUGGAGCUUUCCCCCCAUGUGCCUUGACUUGAUACCUAACUCAAGGCUUUGGUUUUUUUCAUUGGGGUUUUUUAAUUUUUUCCCAGAUUACCAUAAGCAGUGUUUCACUGCUUAGGUCCAGAUGGAACUACCUUUCGUGGAUUACAGAGCAUAUGAACAGUAGGAUUAUUUUAUUGCUGGACUGGGGACAUCCACUGAUUCUGUCCUUAAUACACCCUUUUAUUAUGAACAAUUACGUAUGUCUCUGGAAACUGUAUGAUUCCACACGGGAUACAAUGACUGGGCUUAAUGAGGUGCUUUAUGAACACAAUUCAAAAUUAACUUUGAAUUUCCUGGCUUUUGUUGAUUUUUGUCACAACUUUAACAUUUUUCAAACAUAAAAUCAUUACAUUAAAAGAAUAAAUCUCUAUUUUAGCUAAGAUUUAUUAUACCCCAGUGAGAUAAACCUUGUUUUCAGUUUUCAGUAAUAGCAUGAUUUAUUUCCAAGCAGUUGAGAGCUAAAAAAAAAAAAGAGAGAGAUAGAUCUGAAUGAAAAAUAAUACUUCCUAACAAAAAAAGUACAUUUUUACAGGACCUUUAAAGAACUCUCAAUCAGCCCCAAGAGUGAAUAUAUCAAGUCUCUCACUCUGACAGGUUUGUGAUAUACUUCACUUAUUCUUAAGUACAAUUUAAUAUGUAAGCAUUGAUCUGAAUUACUAUUUUUAAAGUUUUCUGGAAGAUUGAGGAUUUGACAUUUCCUCAUGUAUUCAGCUGCUGAGCAGACUCGGAAUCACUGAUGCUAAGUGGUCAGCUACCAUAAACUCCUUAGAGGGGAUUACUAUUAUAUAACUUACUAUUUUGCCAUUUGUAGUCUUUGUACAAAACUACUGAGACAGCAAGUGUUUGGCAAGGCAUGUGUAGUAACCUGAACACCACUUGUAGGGCUUUCUCACAGAGAUAGAUAGAUUUUUUUCUUUUUUUUUCUUUUCUUCUGUUUCAGCAUUCUCUUUCCACUAGGUCCCAAGUGCUCUAUUUGAAUGUAAGUUGAGACAACUCAGAUCUGGGAGACUCCAUUCACUUGAAAGGAAGAAGGGUGUUCUCCAGCUGCUGACAAUAAGAGAGGGUAGAACAGACAAGGGCAAUAAUUGGAACAUGUUUGUUCCCCAAUACAUCUGGACAAAGCAGGUAUAAAUACAUAAAUCCACUCACAGCAGAGUCCCAGUUUGCAGCUGGUGGCACCUCUGAGCCUUUUGAAUAGCAAAUGUUUUUCUCUUGCUUGUAUUUCUCUGUUCCACAUUUCAUCCUCAGGGGCAAGCCUGGCUUAAGUCAUUUUUAUCCACCUGGAAAGAGCCUGUAAUUUAUCCCUUUAUUAAUUAACUGCUUUAAGGCUUGUCCCACUCUCACCCCAUUGGUGAGGGUCUGUAUCUCCCAUGGAGGCCACCAAUUCACCUUUCCUAUUUGGAAAUAUUUGCUCUGUCUUCACUGAUUGCCAUACUGUGCUUUCUUGCCCUGCUUGCUGACGCCCUUGCUCCUCUCAGUACACAUGCCAAGACACAGAGGAUUGAGAUGAGAAUCUUGCUUUCCCCUUGCUUUCUUCAGUCCAAAGUUUGAUGUCCAGUGUUGCGGAUCAGUAGCAGGGAAGUUUUCCCCCACCUGUAUUCUAUUUCUCCUUUUAGGGAAAAAAUGUUCUCUUAGGGGCUUGUUUGGACUGUUCUAGUCCAACAAUUCUUAUUUUGGCACUGAAUAUGUUAUUCUUUCAGGGAUCCCAUCUUUUCAGAUCAUGACCUCAAAUUUGUUGACUACUUUUCUAAUGUAUUGCCAAUGAGAUCACCUUUUCAGACUGUCAUACCCAUUGCCUUUGUACUGGUACCCAUUCCUAAGAUGAUAGGACUCUAUGGACUAAGAUCAUCUUCCACAGUAAAGCUCUGAACUUUCUGAAUUCCCUCACCAGUUUUUUUAUGAUUCAAACAGUGCUAUAGGUGGUCUUAAUGGCUCAGUACCCUCUCAGCCACAGCAGAUAAUAGGAUGACAAUGAAACGGAUUGAGGACAACAAAUACUGGCCCAAAAAUUUCUCUAUAUGUUAGUAACUUGCCCAGUAAUUUUUCAUGUACUGUAAAUGAGAUCAUGUAUCCACACAUGAUAGGAUACCUGAGAUGCAAGAUAGCUACUUGCCCAGACCCAGUAAAGUGCAAGAGAGUCUAUUUAAACUUCUGUGCAGGAUAAAACUCUGAGUCAUCCCCUUAAGUGUCUGAGCUUAUUACCAAAGGAAGAGCAGACCUAACAGACUUCUAAUGUAGUGGGUGAUCUGACCACCAAAGGAAGUCUCCUACUCUGAGUUGUCCUUGGAAGCCUACCUCUUCAGUGACUUUGAAGACAGUCUGACAAUAUGAGCUUAGUAAACCAAAAUUAGCUUCUGUGAAAAUCCCUGGGGUCUAUUCAGCCAUUUCCAGCAGUUCUAGCAAACUAUAAAGAUUUACAUUAUUUAAAUAUAGAUCGCAAUUAUCUAUUGGAAAAAUUAUCUAUAAAGAAACCACAGUAGAGUUUUAAUGAACUGAAAAAUCCAUUCAUGUGUUUUCAAAGAAAUUUUUCUGGGAUAAUUAGAUACUUUCUUAAAUCAGUCUGAGAGUCAGACAAAUUACUGGCAAACCAAUGCAUAAGAGAUGACUAAUUCUCAUAUACUAGUGUCACCUAGGCACUACUAUGAAUAAUGCAUUCCAAAGCAUAAAAUAGAAAGUACCUGAAUUAAACCCCAUGUCUGACAGUAUCUGAAGGGAAAGAGGAGUGAAUGAGGAAGGGAAAUGAAUAUGAAUAGUCACUGAGACUUCUCAAUCGACAGAGAGAUUGAAUCUGUUUGUCCAUUUCAUGGAACUAUUCAGGCUGCAAACCAGGUAGAAUAAAAGCAAAUGAAGGACAAAGAAAAACAGCACAAGAAAGAAGAUCAUGUAUUUAUUUUUUUUAUUCUCUUUUGAGGGUAAAUUCCAACUGCCAACUUCCUCUAUGUAGCAUGGUGGCAGAUGAAUAUACUUUUUUAUUUUCACUAUGCAAAGGUCAUCUUCACCUGAAAAACAGGAACAGAAUGUGCGUUAGCAGCAUCUUGCACAGCCACUAGACAAUCACAAUUAAUUUUCUCAGACAGUGUUACAAAUUCAGACAGCAGCAACAAAAAUCUUGCUAAAAGAGGCAUCUUUUGUUCUUCUCUCUUCUUCCCCACCUCACUCCCAAAGACACAGACCUGAUAUUUAUUUUGUACUGACCCUAACAUGUACCAUUUCCCUCUGUGAGCCACUUCCACAUGCUAAAGCUGCAGAAAGCAAAACUAGACAGUAUGAUUUUGUGCCCUGUUAAUGAAUAAAAGUGAUCUUCCAAGGACAUGGCAGGACCUGACAGAAACCAGAGCUGGUCAAAGGGAGGGGGCAGGGCUGCAAAGCUGAGGAGAAGGGAGAAAGGGAUGGGAUAGAUUUCUAUUGGGGAAUGAUAAAUAGGCAAGCAAGAAUGGAGUUGUGAAACACAAGACCUAGAAAUUGCCUCACCUCAGCACAGGACUGAAGUGGUACUGGAUCUUGUCACCUUUCAGGAAGGUAAAAUCUUGUAUCCAAAGCAAACUGCACACUCUCAUCAAAAAGACUGACUGGGAUAGAAAGUUGCUGCCUAUGCUUACCAGGCAGAACCAGGAACAGAGAAGAAAUCACUCCCAUUUUGCUCAGUCUGAGCUGUAUGCACAACUACCUGGCAAUGACAUGGAUGCAUGUCUGUAUUCU
Molecule: long non-coding RNA, 6797 nt
Organism: Pipra filicauda (Wire-tailed manakin)
Lineage: Eukaryota; Metazoa; Chordata; Aves; Passeriformes; Pipridae
Exons: 8
Source: RefSeq, a predicted model, not a curated record